Cajanus cajan (pigeon pea) is the source of this 2728-nucleotide long non-coding RNA. RefSeq lists it as uncharacterized. The record is from RefSeq and is a predicted model, not a curated record. NCBI's taxonomy places the organism in Eukaryota, Viridiplantae, Streptophyta, Magnoliopsida, Fabales, Fabaceae.
GCGUUUCAGCUAUGUUGCAAUUACAAACAUCGAAAUUUUGCUUUUUGCCAUUAUGGGCACGUUCUUGCUUUUGCUACACUCGUGGACAAGAUGAAUCACAAGGACGGGUGUGGGAAAGUGGAGGAUCACGAAUCACGAUGAAGAUACCCGCAAAUGGGGUUGUGUGUUUUGAAGUUGAAUUGAAGAAUUCUUGAAGCACAAGGUGGAAAAAUUGAGUCUUUGAAAGUGGUAGCUUAUAGGGUAGGGUUAGUUGAUCGGGGGAAAUAAGGUCUUCAAAUUGGGACCCUUUGAGUUGAGUGCCAAAAGGGUGCUUAAUUCGUUUCCCUGUGUAAUUACUGUUGUAAUUAUCUGACCUUGUUUUACAAAUUUUAUUGAGAUGAAACAAGUGUUCUUUCUCCAAGUGCUAUCUUUCCAAGAUACUAUUUUGAUUUAUAAAUUGUUCAAGGUUAUCUACCGCGUGUGAAUAUUCUUUCUAUCCCUCAUCCAUUAUUAAACGGAUUGAGGGUUGAGACCACAAUUUUGGUUAUGCGAACGCGUAAUGAAGGAUUAGAGUACUUAUUUGUUGACAAAGAAUUGAGAGUUUGUCAUAGAAGAUCAUUCCCAAUUUCCCAUCGUAGACCUAUUAUUAAGUAUUAACCGCUAAGCUUUUGAAAUCUUAUUGUAUACUCAACAGUAAGCGCCGACUAUAAUUAUUAUCUAUCCAAGUCAUUAAGUAAGUCAAACAAAUGAAAAAUAAAAGGACUGACACCAUGAAUAUGAAAUUUUUAGAUUGUUUCACGAGGUUCAGAAUGCUGGCAGAGCAUACCAAGAAUUGGUUCUGCCUUUGAUACCCCUUAAAGAUCAUCAAUAUUGAUCCCAACACCUAUACAUUCAGCACAUUAUUUUAUUAGGUACCUACAUUAGAUGUUGCAUUUGAAAUAUGGGUUUAAUGGCUAAUGCAUUGUUAGUGUGGUUUGUGAUUUGGAUGAUAGUAGAUAACUAUUUUACACUGUAGAUGUAUAGUCUAUGUUCUCUUGAAAUAUUAGAUGCAUGUCCAGAUCCAGAAUUUGUGUGUCAGAUGAUUGAUGAGAUGUCAAGGUAACAGGGUUUUGGAUAAGUUAAUUGUACACAGUUGUAAAUAGUGUUAAGAUAAGAGUUUUGAUGAGUGUGGUUUGUUACUUUGCAUUAUAUUUUUCUGUAUCAGUUAAUUCAAGUUAGUUUGACGUUAACUCUAUCAUGUCCUUUUGUGGUUAACUCUGUAUCAGCUCCUCAAACAUCCAUAAACCAGUUAGCUGAUCCCAAGAACUCUGUAACUGAUUCAUCCUCGGUUCAACUUCAAGUCACAUCAAUUCAACUGUUGCAAAUUCCUUUCAUGGUCUCAGAUUGUGCAUACCACAUCAUUAGAGGAAAGAUGGAUUAUCUAACAAGUGGCACAAAGGAAUGCUGAGAACUUCAUGGUAAUGAUACUGCUGGUGAAUUUGUUAUCAAGAUCCACUAAUAGGGAGGUACGGAGGAAAAAUAUUAGUAGUUUUGUUGAUAUUACCGAAGAAAGAUCUCGAAAGCAGUUACAUCAAAAUCGGUACAAGAAAUCAUAAUUAGGUACCAAACAUGAAACAGCUAGUCUGUGUCAGUGUGCGCACAUUGAAAUGCGUUAAAAUAAGUUUGCUCUACGUAAACAGCUUGUAAAAUAUUUUAUUGUGUAAGAUAUGCAUUACUAUACAUUGAAAUGAAAGGUAUGAUUGAGAGUUGAGAUGACUCAUGAAUUGAUUCUUAUUUCUUAGGUGUUGAACAAAUGAACGUCAAACUAGGAUUUUUCGAAUGAAUCGUGGUGAUACAAAUUUUACUUAUGAUUAUGAACAAGGCUAUGCAGCUGGUCACAUGCGAGUAUACUCUUUGAGGAAGUCCAAAACCCCAAAACAUAGUCUUAUUAAAGUUUGUAAUUAAUAUAGAAAUUGAUCUCAUUCUCAUGUAUUACAUGAAGUAAAGGAAAGGUUAAAUUUAGUCACAAGACUGAUACAAUUUUUUCAUCUUCACAUACAAUGAACAACGCAAAAUCUAAAUUACUACUUGGUAUGGUAGAAGCAGUAGAAGCAGUAAUCAAGCGACAGGAUGCACUAUAACUUGAUCAACAACAGGGCCACAAAGAGAUCCGUAGUCAUGAAUUUUUGUAUGGUAGAAAGAGCUAUAGAAUGUGAUUCUGGUUCUGUUUUCAAUCGCUUUGAACUUGAAACUCACAGUCUUGAAGUGGCCUUUUCCCACAGAUUUGAAGGGAACUUUGAGGGUAUCUUUUGCUGCAAAUGCUUCAACCAUCAUUGAUCCGUGACAGCCAUUUCGCGCGUCUCCAAUUGUGAACUUCAUGUUGUAGACUUUGUUGGGAACUGUUCUUAGAAUUUGGGCAAUGACACUUUCCCUGCCUGCAAUAAGCUCUAUUGCUCCCUGACCAAAUGGGACAGUGAAAUGUUCUGAAUCUAUGAACUUCACAGCUUUGAGGGAUUCAAUCAUCCAACCAGGGAGUGGAGACAUACGAUCUUCUUGCUUGGGAGGGAGCAGAACACCGUGUGUAGAGUUGAAAAUAGGGAAUGGACCCUCCUCAAACCCAGGAUUUUUAACCAAAUUAGCUGCAAAAGACCAUAUUGCAUGUAGUCUUAUCAGAUACCAAAUAAGCCAAACACAACUCCCAAAUGCAAACUGAAAACAUAUAUAACUGAUAUUUCAUAUUUUAUAUAUAUUGUAUGGAGAAAUUAUUGCA